Molecule: ribosomal RNA, 253 nt
Filed under: uncultured bacterium
Lineage: Bacteria
Description: partial 16S ribosomal RNA
Rfam family: Bacterial small subunit ribosomal RNA
Source: RNAcentral
UACGGAGGGUGCAAGCGUUGCUCGGAAUUAUUGGGCGUAAAGGGUAGGUAGGUGGUCUCAUUUGUCUGGGGUGAAAGCCUUGAGCUUAACUCAAGAAGUGCCCCAGAAACGGUGAGACUAGAGUCCUGGAGAGGGUCGUGGAAUUCCCGGUGUAGCAGUGAAAUGCGUAGAGAUCGGGAGGAACAUCAGUUGCGAAGGCGGCUCUCUGGACCAGCACUGACACUGAGGCACGAAAGCGUGGGGAGCAAACAGG